RNA transcript from Ailuropoda melanoleuca (giant panda), 3794 nucleotides. It is a transcript of the gene named ER membrane associated RNA degradation, with no coding region annotated. Lineage: Eukaryota; Metazoa; Chordata; Mammalia; Carnivora; Ursidae. The transcript is spliced from 21 exons. The record is from RefSeq and is a predicted model, not a curated record.
CAGAGAGGCCGCUAACCGGGUUCCGGUGGGCUGCUGAGCGCGUUCUUGGCGUGCGCGGCGCCCGCUGAGGUUCGGGCGGGAGGAGGCGCAAUGUCGGCCGCACCCUGAUGGCCCGGCGGGCUCUGGGCCGCGGUCCCCUGGCCUCGGUGGUGUCCGCGCCGCCGCGGAAGCAGUUAAAACGGAGGCUCAGAAUACUAAUUUCUUCAGAACAAGAGGUACAACGAGUCUGAGGAAGAGUUCAAACUGAAGGUCCUAAGCACAGGUCAUUUGCAUUGCCCCAUGCUGCCCUGGACAAGACAUUGGAGUAUCAAGGAGUAAAGAUGCUAAUAGAGGAUCCGAUUACCACUUGUCUUUCUCCCUCAGUCUAUGAUAUGAUCUGUAACCUCGGGUUUGAAGUCCGAGAACGUUGUGAUAUCAAUAGCAUUGUAAGUCAGAGGGGUGAAGUAUGCUGGCAGACCAUCACAGCCUGUGUGAUCUAUACACAAUCAGCCCAGAGUCUGGAUUACCAGGGCAGCGUGAGGCUGCUGGGCCCUGUGUGUGAGGCCGUCCACUCACAUUUGUUAUCUCUGACCAAGGGGCAGUUUGAAAUCCGAUACACACCGUGGCUGCAGUGGACAGCUUUUCCAGAGUUAUUUCCUGAAAUACUUGAUGCUUUGGAAAGCCCUCAGUGUCCUGCUAUUCCUCUUAGCUUAAUGAAACUGACGGCAUGUCUAGAACGGGCUUUGGGUGAUGUCUUCCUACUGAAUGGGAAGGAUUGCCCCUUUCUUUUGAGAGAUCUGCUUGCAUCGGAAGAGCUUGCUGUGGUGUUUGGGCGGUCGGUGAUGGACGUGCUGAAAGUCUUCGUCGGAUCUCCAUGUGGACUGAACCUGCGUAAUGUCCUUUGGCACGGGUUUGCCUCUCCUCACGAAAUCCCCCCAAAAUCCUGUGGUGUUUGCACUAGAUACUGUUCAGCGAUGGUACUGUUGACCGCGGGGUUGGGUCAGCUGCUGAAGAGUUACUUGCAACGAACUGAACGUGUGCUGGCACACCGGCCUUUCGUAGCUCUUACAGACCUCGAGGAUUUGGCCGUUUUCCCUGAGGUCACUUCUGAGGUACUUUCGGUGUUAGAAGAAGUGAUGAGGAAAUCCACUUUCAUAUCAAAGGUCAUGUUGCCGUACUGGGAAGCUGCGUUAGUCGCGUUCAGGUCACACAGGUUUGCUGACUGUGCCAUGUUGUUACUGACACAGCUAGAGACGGGACUUAGGAGAGUUUUUGCCACAGUUAACAGAUGUCCGAAAAGACUUCUGACUGCUGAGUCCACGGCUCUUUAUACCACCUUCGAUGAAAUAUUGGCAAAACACUUGAAUGAUGGUGAAAUCAAUCAGCUUCCUCUUUUCCUCGGAGAGCCUGCAAUGGAGUUUCUUUGGGAUUUCCUGAACCAUCAGGAGGGCCCCCGUAUAAGAGACCGUUUAAGCCACGGGGAAGUCAACUUACCUGAAUUCCCAAAAGAAGUAGCAAACCAGCUGCUUGCGUUCUCCAUCGUACUUCUGCUGAGGUUCAUCGCGGAGGAUCUGUCGGCAGCCUGUAAGGAAAAGGCAGCAAUAAAAUCAUUGGUUGGUCUUGCAGAGGGCUACCGCGCUCACUUCCACCCAGUUUCUCAGCUUAAAAAACAGGUGCUGAGCUGCGAGAAGAGCAUCAGGGUUUGGCCCCUCCUGCCUUUGCCUGAAGAGGCUGAGGAGGCAGCCAGAGUAGAAGGUACUUCUGAAACGCAGGCCUGUGAGGCUUUAUUCACAGAAAUCCUGCGAGAGCUGCUCUGCCACUUGCCCGAGGGGGACGGUGUUGUCAGCGGCUGGGACCGUCUUCCCGAUGAGAGGUGCUCCCAGGUGAUCCAGGAGCUCUGCGGCACCCCCGUCCCAACUCUGUUCUGUCCCAGAACUGUUCUGGAAGUACUCACCGUGCUCCGGAACAUCAGCACACACUGCGCCCGCGUGUCCAGCCAGGUCGCUGCCUCUGCGGAACUGAGACACCAGCAGUGGGUGGAAAGGAGGCUGCGCUCCCGGCAGAGGCAGACCUACCUGCACAUGCUCAGUAGUAUUAAGCUUCUGUCUCCUGUGCUUUACCUGAUUUUAUUGCUGAUUGCCCUGGAAUUAGUCAACAUUCACGUGGUUCAUGGAAAAAAUACUUAUGAAUAUCAACAGUAUCUAAAGUUCUUAAAGUCAAUCUUGCGGUACACGGAGAACCUGGUGGUUUACACCAGCCAACAGAAGAACAAGUGGAAUGAAACUAUCGAUCUUACACGAACAGCGCUGUUGAAAAUUUGGACUUUUAGUGAAAAGAAACAAAUGUUAAUACAUUUAGCCAAGAAAUCCACAAGUAAAGGAGUUUUAUGAAAACACUUAGAAGUCAAGAUGCUUUUGGCUACAUCUGAAAACCCAGCCUGAAUAGGCUUUACCAGCAUGGACAUUGAAAUCCAAAGCGGUCACACCCUCCCUUGGACAGACUCUAAAUGAUAAUUUAUGGGAUUAGCCACUCAACCCUCCGGAUAUUGGAGCUGCAAUGAAAGAACUGAUACAUCUACCAAGCACAUGGAGAGAUGGGUGGAGCUCUUGUGCAACUCGCGUUUGUUCCCGGUGAGACGACAGAUGUUGGUAUUAAAAAUUCCCUUUUCUACAACCCAUUCCAUGUUCCUCUGCCUCCACCACCCACUUCUGUUGGUGGUGGUUCCUCACCUGGUGGGUUGACCCGGACCUCAUUCCUGAGAGGUCUCCCUCCAAGAAGUCUUUCUGUUUUGGGCAACUCAUUCUCCAUUGGCUCUGAUUGCUGGAAAUGGGAAUUCUAGGAGCUUCUCCAAAGGAUCUCCUAAAUUCCAGACACAGUCCUGCCUGCCCCUGUCUGGCAGCAGGCCUGUCCUCAGGGGAGUGGGCAGCAGUGACCCAAGUCAUUACAGUCAACCGGCUUUGCAUUUUGGUUCUUGGCUUGAGGCGUCCAGGGCAGCCAGGUGACCUCUCAGCCUGCAGGCCGAUGGGACACUCGUGUCACUCUGCGGAGCAGAACUUCCUAGGAACAGAUAUUCACGUCAGCAGAGCCCAAGAUUCUCGGAGGGACGUGCUAGUGGCUGAUGCAGCGGGAGGGACCAUCCCCACGUCACAUGCUUCCUCCAGCUGUGUGUUCGGCGCGGGCAAGACCACGCUGUAAGGUCAUGAGGGGCAGUUCAGGGCACAAGUCACCGCCACAACCCAGCAUCUCGAGCGGAGCCCCUGCCGUGUUGUCCAGCUGGGUGGUUGGGGGUGCAGAGCCCGAGCCGAGGUGGGGAUCAUCCACGGACCUUGUUGCCGGACUUCUGUGGGAGACAGACCUCUUAGAAGCAGUGCUGUCAGAACCAUGGCGGUGAGUAAGGCUUUCUGGGGGCCACUGACAGGCACAGAAAGGUCACGGACAUCCACAGAUGGGUCAUCAUGUCCCUGAACACCAGGGGUGAGCUCCCACACGGGAGAUGGCAUCUGCAUGUUGCUCCUUUCGGGAGCUCGAGCCGCUUCCCCUUCCUCAGCCCUUGUCCACAGCUGAGACCCACCUGCCACUGAUUUCCAGUCCUGUUCCUUCUGAGACCUGGACUGCCACUACCCGCUUUCCUGGAGACCUGUCCUCUGGACUGUUGCAUUCUCCAGGUGCUCCCAGGCAACUCUGGGUGACCGUGGGCACAUGAAGAGGGUCUUGUCACUGCGGCAGCACACGUGGGCGUCUGAACCGUCUGCCGCGCCUUCAGGACACACUUGGCCCCGCCUUGUGUGCACGUCACUUCGGUUUAACGAUGAUGC